This 428-nucleotide ribosomal RNA is filed under the name uncultured bacterium. Its description in RNAcentral is "partial 16S ribosomal RNA". It matches the Rfam family "Bacterial small subunit ribosomal RNA", at positions 354 to 796 of the family's 1533-position model. The record is from RNAcentral.
GUAGGGAAUAUUGCGCAAUGGACGAAAGUCUGACGCAGCGACGCCGCGUGAGUGAUGAAGGCCUUAGGGUCGUAAAGCUCUGUUGAAUGGGAAGAAAAAAAUGACGGUACCAUUCGAGGAAGGACCGGCUAACUUCGUGCCAGCAGCCGCGGUAAUACGAGGGGUCCUAGCGUUGUUCGGAAUCAUUGGGCGUAAAGGGUGUGUAGGUGGCCAUGUAAGUCAGGUGUGAAAGCCCCGGGCUCAACCCGGGAAGUGCACUUGAUACUGCGUGGCUUGAGUACCGAAGAGGGUAGUGGAAUUCCAGGUGUAGUGGUGAAAUACAUAGAUAUCUGGAGGAACACCGGUGGCGAAGGCGGCUACCUGGUCGAGUACUGACACUGAGACACGAAAGCAUGGGGAUCAAACAGGAUUAGAUACCCGGGUAGUCC